Molecule: long non-coding RNA, 783 nt
Organism: Arabidopsis lyrata subsp. lyrata
Lineage: Eukaryota; Viridiplantae; Streptophyta; Magnoliopsida; Brassicales; Brassicaceae
Exons: 2
Source: RefSeq, a predicted model, not a curated record
UUGUAUAUACAUAUCAGAUAUCUUACUAUGUAUUUUUAUUUGAAUAGUUUUAGAUAUUAAUACUUAAAUUUAGAUAUUUAGAAAAUUAAUUUGAGAUUAUUUACAUAUAUACAUAUAUAUAUAUAUAUAUAUGUAUAUUAACGGUUCUAAAACGUACACGACAUCACCGUUUGAAUUGUUCGCAACUUGAUUUGAGGUAUCGCAUUGAACUCUAAAAACCGGCGAAGAGAAACUUAUAGUUUAUCCGGCGAAGAGGAACUCAGAAAUUCCGGCGAGAUAGCAACCAUCGAGAUGUUUGGGAAUAAACCCAACGCCGAUGUCCCGACGAAGCAUUAUACGCGGCAAGGCCCCCAGAAGGAGAAUCGGGAAGUCAGAGUUUUCCCGAGGAAUAAACUAUCUCCGACAAACCCGCCGGAGAAAUUGGUACUUGCAGGCAGUACAAGUGUGGCUCCGACUGCAGAUUGUUAUAGUACAAGUCCACACUCCGGCUUGCUGUUGGCAACUGCACGUACGGUCAAUGCUGCAUAGGGUGUUUCUUCUAUUGGUACGUGAGGGAGAUGUGUAUCUUCUAUUAGAUUUGACAUUGCUAUCACGGAUGAAGGAUAAUAUUUUCCUCCUCAUGUGUAUGCUUUGGCUCUACUCUUUAGUUUAUUUCUUCGUAAUCUACUAUACUCUGUUUGUCUUUAUGCAUUGUAUUCCUUUUUUUCGGGCAGUUAUAUUAUGAAUGAAUGAACUUUUUGUUGUUUGCAGACAACAUGUAUGAAAUACGUAUGGUUUUGUGUA